UUUGCUCCCUCUAGGCGCAAUAUUUGAAAAAUACAAUAUCACCUUCCACUGUUAUGCCGAUGACAUACAGAUCUAUUUUGAACUUACUGACGACCUUGCUGUGUCCCUUCACUACUUUCAAGAAUGCAUGCGUGAGGUCAAAGAAUGGUUCAUGAGUAAUUCUCUCGUUUUAAACAAUAAGAAGACUGAGAUUGUGGUGUUCAACUGCCCUGGGUUCCUUUGCUAGCUCUUCCUGUGACUAUGUCAGUAACUUGGCUGUACUGCUGCAAGUGUCUGCUGUAGUGAGAUCUAGCUUCCACCAACUGCGCCUUAUCUCUAAGGCUAGGCAUUAUGUUCCGCAUGAGGACCUGGAGAAGCUUAUUCACACUUUUGUGACCUCCAGGUUGGAUUAUUGAAACUCCUUGUACUACGGUCUUCCCCCUUCUCUUCUUCUGCAAACAGUCCAAAAUGCGGCAGCUCGCCUCUUGACUGGUACCAGGAAAUUUUGCCCUAUUACUCCUGUUUUAGCUAACUUGCACUGGCUGCCCAUAAAGUACGAUAUUCAAUUUAAAAUAUUAUUGAACUUCUCAACCAACAUACUCCAACUAGAACACUCAUAUGUGCCACUCUACUACUUCUGAUGCAACCUAGAUCUCGGCUGAAGUCCCGGGGUGACCGUGCGUUUGCUCUGGCUGCCCCGGUACUGUGGAAUAAUCUUCCUCUUGAUAUCCGCACAUCUGAUUCUAUUGCAGCGUUUAAAUCACGACUAAAAACCCACUUAUUCAGUCUUGGCUUUCCCUCUAGUUAACAUUUCUUUUAUGAUUUUAUAUUAUGCACUUUUAUGCUCAUUUAAUUCCUUGUUUGUUCUGUAUCUGUUGCUUUCCUGUGUGUCAGUGACAGCUAUGUGCUUGCAUACCUAGUACUUGCUUUGGUCCUAUUUCUAUUAUCUUCCUUCUAUUCUCUAUGUUACUUGUUAAGCACCUUGGCAUACCCUUGGUUUUUAACUGUGCUUUAUAAAUAAAGUUUGUUAUAUUGUUAUUAUUGAUGAUCACUUUGAAUGUUCAUGUGUAUGAGCCAUGUAAUGUCCGUGUGUGCAUGCUGACUGUGCUGCUCUGACCCCCCUCCUCCUUUCAGGGUGGAGCCUGCUGGAGUCCGAUGGUUGAGACCAGGUCUGAGGAAGUAUUCCUGUCAACUCACAAUCGACACAAACACAGUGAACACAAACCUCCAACUGUCUGACAACAACAGGAAGGUGACACAUGUGGAGGAGGUUCAGUCAUAUCCUGAUCAUCCAGACAGAUUUGAUGUUUAUCAGCUGCUGUGUAGAAAUGGUCUGACUGGUCGCUGUUACUGGGAGGUCGAGUGGAGAGGAAGAGUUUAUAUAUCAGUGAGUUACAGAAGCAUCAGAAGGAAAGGAGGCAGUGACUGUGUGUUUGGAUACAAUGAUCAGUCCUGGAGUCUGAGCUGCUCUGAUGAUGGUCCUCAUUCUGUCUGGCACAAUAACA
Molecule: long non-coding RNA, 1484 nt
Organism: Haplochromis burtoni (Burton's mouthbrooder)
Lineage: Eukaryota; Metazoa; Chordata; Actinopteri; Cichliformes; Cichlidae
Exons: 2
Source: RefSeq, a predicted model, not a curated record